This 253-nucleotide ribosomal RNA is filed under the name uncultured bacterium. RNAcentral describes it as "partial 16S ribosomal RNA". It matches the Rfam family "Bacterial small subunit ribosomal RNA", at positions 524 to 776 of the family's 1533-position model. The record is from RNAcentral.
UACGAAGGACCCAAGCGUUAUCCGGACUUAUUGGGUUUAAAGGGUGCGUAGGCGGAUUAGUAAGUCAGUGGUGAAAGCCCAUCGCUUAACGGUGGAAUUGCCAUUGAUACUGCUAGUCUUGAGUAUGGUUGAGGUGGGCGGAAUGUGUCAUGUAGCGGUGAAAUGCUUAGAUAUGACCCAGAACACCAAUUGCGAAGGCAGCUCGCUAAACCAUUACUGACGCUGAUGCACGAAAGCGUGGGGAGCAAACAGG